AGCGAACGCUGGCGGCGUGCCUAACACAUGCAAGUCGAACGUGAAAUGGGGCAACCCAAAGUAAAGUGGCGUACGGGUGAGUAACGCGUAGGUAAUCUACCCCAGAGUCUGGAAUAACCGGCCGAAAGGCUGGCUGAUACUGGAUAGAGCGACGGAAUCCGUAAUUGGGUUUUUCGGGAAAGGGAGGACGUAAGUCCCUUCGCUCUGGGAUGAGCCUGCGUCUCAUUAGCUAGUUGGUGAGGAACGGCUCACCAAGGCAUUGAUGGGUAGCUGGUCUGAGAGGAUGAUCAGCCACACUGGAACUGAAACACGGUCCAGACUCCUACGGGAGGCAGCAGUGGGGAAUCUUGCGCAAUGGACGAAAGUCUGACGCAGCCACGCCGCGUGAGUGAAGAAGGCCUUGGUGUAA
Molecule: ribosomal RNA, 409 nt
Filed under: uncultured bacterium
Lineage: Bacteria
Description: bacterial SSU rRNA
Rfam family: Bacterial small subunit ribosomal RNA
Source: RNAcentral